This 253-nucleotide ribosomal RNA is filed under the name uncultured bacterium. RNAcentral's name for it is "partial 16S ribosomal RNA". It matches the Rfam family "Bacterial small subunit ribosomal RNA", at positions 524 to 776 of the family's 1533-position model. The record is from RNAcentral.
UACGUAGGGCGCAAGCGUUAUCCGGAAUUAUUGGGCGUAAAGAGCUCGUAGGUGGUCUGUUGCGUCCGCUGUGAAAACCCAGGGCUUAACCCUGGGCUGGCAGUGGAUACGGGCAGACUAGAGGUAGGUAGGGGAGAAUGGAAUUCCCGGUGUAGCGGUGAAAUGCGCAGAUAUCGGGAGGAACACCGGUGGCGAAGGCGGUUCUCUGGGCCUUACCUGACACUGAGGAGCGAAAGCGUGGGGAGCGAACAGG